CAAAAAACACAUAUGUAUAUGUGUAUGUCUGCUUACGGACUCCCUGGAUUUUCUACUUGGAAGUAGUACCGAGGAAGAUCUAACACAGAAUUGUAAAGGAUAAGAAUAGAAAAUUGUCCUUCAUUUGUUGCUAAGCCCUGUUUGGGAGAAUCUGCCCUUCCCAUUGGUGGCAUAGCUGACAACCUAGGAGUGCGUCUAGAGGAUGGCUUCCCUCAAAGACGGGGACCAAAAAGUUGUGUCAAGCAUGAAACGGUCAAGAAAUUGCCAUUGUUGUGAAAACUUCAACUCAAUAAUUCAGAGAUACAGAAAAUUGGCACAAGAAUGUUAUUUCUUCGUUUGGACAAAAAUCUCUGAACUUUCUGAGGUUCACCCAUCAUUGUUGUAAAACUCUAAAGAUCAAGUUUACUUUGGAAGUUCUGCUACAACCUCAAGUAUCAUGUUAGCCAUAGCAUGGCAGUGGGGAAAACGGAAAAGAGCAGCCCACUAUUUCCAAGAACCUCUAUUAUUUUAAAGCUCACAGUGUUUGUUUUACUAAUUCGGAGAGAAGAAAAGAUCACAGAUUAUUUCUCAGUUGGAAGAAAAGGGCAUCUUUCAAACAAGAAGAUGGCUUUGGCUGCCCUUGUGGACCUGUGCUUCUCUGUCUGGGCACUGCCUGUUUCUGGAAGGUGUUUCCUCUCAGCCCGGAGUUAUAGGUACAAGAGCACGCAAGAGAGCAGACAGGUAAAAAAAAAAUCGCGUACUAUCUAAUUGUAAACUGUGGUCAAUGUUAUGCCAUUUUCUAUGAACAAUUGUUAUUAAUACUAUGGUAAAGGUCAGUCUCAUCCAAAUAUCAAAUUUAUAUUUUAAGUCUUCACAGGUAGGAAUAAUUGCCACUGAUACCUAGUUUCUGAUUUAUUUAUUUAUUUGAGACAGAGUCUCAUUCUGUCACCCAGUCUGGUGUGAUCAGGGCUCACUGCAACCUCCGCCUCCCGGGGUCAAGUGAUUCUCCUGCCUCAGCCUCCCAAGUAGCUGGGAUUACAGGCCCGCCACCAUGCCCACCUAAUUUUUGUAUUUUUAGUAGAGAUGGGGUUUCACCAUGUUGAUCAGGCUGGUCUUGAAUCCCUGACCUCGUGAUCUUCCCACUUAGGCCUCCCAGUGUUGGGAUUAAAAGGCGUGAGCCCGCACCGGGCCCCUAGUUUCUUAUUACAGCUAAAUUCUAUUUUUGUGGCAUGAGUUUGAUACGAAGGUUGAAAUUCCAUAAAAACAGAAAGUGGUGAUCAGGCCUAAGAAAAUACUGCAGCAGCUGGAAAAGUUCAAGGAUGCGCCAGGGUGCACCGUGGAACCGGUCUCUUUGUUAGAGGAGAGGAAAUCUCCACCUGUCAUGAAAUGCGGGGAGGAGGUGGGUAGAGUAGAAAUAGUGAGACAGGGACAUUUGAGUAAGUGCCUGGGCACCCUGCUAGAUUCACAUUUGGAGGAAAGAAUACUACUCAUUUGACAAUAUUGCUAAUCAGAAAUUCACUCCUGUUCAGUGGAAUUGUACACACCUAAAGAAGAGUUAAGCCACUACAGGUGACGGGGUUUAUAAGAGGUCCCCAGAGGCAGGGGUUGGGCCCGUUUGAAACAGGCGUAUGGCAGCAGUUAUUUGUCUUGCAUUAAGAGAAUGUUCUGUUAAAUGUGAUGUGAAUAUAUCAUAUUUCUCUUAGAGCAGGCUGUGAAUUGCAGAUGUCAUCUAACUAAUUCUCACAGCAUCCCUGGAAAGCAGGACAUGAAUGGGAAAUUGUUUCAUUCAUCUGUGUCUGGCAACGUUUAUGAAUUAUUAACAGGAGAAUGUGAAUUUCCCCAGGGGGAAAAAAAACUACACCGCAAAGGUAAGGGAAUUGUAAGGAAGAAUUAGCAGAUGUUAGAAAAGGGUGGAGUAGUAAAUAAUGAUGUGAAAUUCAAAUUUGAAGAAAGAAGAUUUUGAGAGAACCUGACAGAGGGGUCUUAUUGGGGGUGAAGCAGAAAUCUCGGAUGCUUUGAUGUGGAGAGAGAGGAAGAGGAUGGGCAAUUAUGAUAAUUCUUACACAGUUAGGCAUUCUUUACACAGAAAAGUUGCAGUUCCCUGAGACUGGUUGAAGACUCAAGUCCUGUUUUGUUGUUGUUGCUGUUUUUGAGACAAAGUCUCCUGUGUCACCCAGGCCAGAGUGCAAUGGUGCAAUCACCGCUCACUGCAGCCUCAACCUCCUGGCCGCAAGUUAUCCUCUCGUCUCAACCUCCUGAGUAGCCAGGACUACAGCUAUGUAUCACCAUGCCCAGUUAAUUUUUUAAAUUUUUUGUAGAGACAGGGUCUCACUGUGUUAUCCAGGCUGGUCUCAAACUCCUGGGCUCAAGCAAUCUACCCACCUUGGCCUCCCAAAGUGCUGGGAUUACAAGUGUGAGCCACUGCCCCUGGCCAAGUUCUGUUUUUAAUAGAAACACUUCCCUAUUUAUUAAAACAAUGGCUACCAUGCAGUAGUAGGUACUCAUGAAGCACCCGAGAGGCUUACUGCCUGUAGUCUUUUCAACAACUUGAUGACACCUCAUUCAUUAUUCUUGUCUAACAAUGAGGGCCUCAUUGCUGAAUGGCUUUUUUUUUUUUUUUUUUUUUUGGACAUGGUCUCCCUCUGUUGCCCAGGCUGGAGUGCAAUGGCCCGAUUUUGGCUCACUGCAACCUCUGCCUCCUGGACUCCAGCGAUCCUCCCAUCUUAGCCUCCUCCUGAGUACCUGAGAUUACAAGUGUGUGUCACCACACCCACCUAAUUUUUUGUAUUUUAGUAGAGACAGGGUUUCACCAUGUUGGCCAGGCUGGUCUCAAACUCCUGAUCUCAAAUGAUCCAUGCACCUCAGCCUUCCAAAGUGCUGGGAUUACAGGUGUGAGCCACCACACAUGGCCCUGAACGGCUUUCUGAAGUCACAGGGGUGGUAAAAGUCAGGGCCAGACAUCAGACCCACUCCUGCCUGCUGGCAAAGCCCCUGCUUGUGCCCGCGGCGUCACGCAGCCUUCUCUCGAGGCGGUGGGGUCGUAGCAAGAGGGAAACAAUGGUCACAUUUCUAAGGGGUGAAUGAGAAAAACUAAAGGUUUCUAAACCUUUGAAUCAAACAUAGGCAUUGUUCUGAGCAAAAGAAUGAGAUGAAGAAGAGAGAAAAUAUUCCAUGUGCAAUCAAAAUACCUUGUGUUACUCUUUCCUCCUUCAACUGCAAGGGCGUGGUGUGCAGUAAUUGUCUCUAAGGCCGUGUGUCAAUGGGGAGCCGGCGUGCUCAGGCAGUGUCUUCCCGUAGACUGUCCUCGUGAUGUCACCCCUCCCGGCAUCCCCAGUGCUCACCUGGUCACCAACAUGGUCGACAUUACUUGUCUUGGUCAGCCACUGUGCUGAGAGCAAGAAGGAACCCUCUCCCACCAGCAACCAACUCUUUUUUUUUAUUUUUUAUUUUUUAAGAUGGAGUCUCGCUCUGUCGCCCAGGCUGGAGUGCAGUGGCAAGAUCUCGGCUCACUGCAACCUCUGUCUCCUGGGUUCAAGUGAUUCUCCUUCCCCAGCCUCCUGAGUGGCUGGGAUUACAGGCAUGAGCAACCAUGUCUGGCUAAUUUUUGUAUUUUUUGGUAGAAACGGCAUUUCACCAUGUUGGCCAGACUAGUCUCAAACUCCUGACCUCAAGUGAUCUGCCCGCCUCAGCCUCCCAAAAUGCUGAGAUUACAGGCGUGAACCACCGUGCCUGGCCUGAUUCUUUUACAAAGAUAUUCCCAAUCUGUUUCUCACAAAGCCUCCAAGUAAGCACUCUGUGGACUCACAAAUUCAGGUAUCACAGUCUUCCUCUUCAGAGAGACUUGGCCCAAGCUGCCAAUGGGGUUGACUCAGAAGGCAACUCAAGUGUGUCCCUGCAUGUAGUAUCCACCAGCACCCCUUCCUGCAAAUGUCCCAUUCAGGUUUCUCCCAUCAGAAGAAGUGCUUCUCCUGAGCGCUGCCCUGCCCGGAGCUUCGGGGGUGGCUCUCACCUCAGAGUCUAGGUCCUGCUACAGGGCUUGACUCAUGUUCCUCCAUUGUCGUUUUGUGCACGCUCCUCAGGUCUUUAUGAAAAGCAGAACUUCCAGCAGCCUGUCUCUGCAGGCCUUAAGUUCAGAUAUGUGAAUCCCAACACUGACACUUGCUAGCUGCAAGAUUUGGGAAAAGUUACUUUAAAACAAACAAACAAACAACUUGUAAAGUCUUUUUUUUAUCUGUUCUAUGAGGAUACUGACAACUACCUGAAAAGCAACUUGAAUGGAAAACUUUGACUCAUUUUUUUCCAGCAGCCCCAUGAAGGACAAAGAGAUAAAGAACAAGAAGUCAAACUCGCUUGGGAGGUUUCUUUUAUAAACGAACUUUUAGAACGCACCUAUUCCAUUUUUACAGAUUCAGCCUGGUUUCAUGUGCCUCCAGCUCUUACAGUUGUGGAGAGUUUGAGGUUGAUGGAAAUGCUUUCACAGAGGAUUUUUGUAAUCUUCACAUAAUCCUGAGAAGUAGGUAGGUUUGCAUCUUAUUCUCACUUUUCAGAGGAGGAAACAGACUUAGAGAAUUUUGAAUUUUGUUUUUAAAGCAAUUUGCCUGGAAUCUCCCAGCUCCUAAGUAGAGCCAAUCCUGAAACCCACGUCUUCUGGCUCUAAUCCUCAGCCCUUCUCCCAGGAUCCACAGCACUGAGGUCACCGAUGACCCCCAUGAUAAUCUAAAUAAUGACUCUGAGGCUGGACAAGAUGCCAAAUCUUCAAAGAGAGAGUCUAUUUGAUCAUUCCAUUGCACCAGCAAAGUGGGUUUGAAAUCUGUAGAGAGAUUUCUUUUUCCCCAAUAAUAGCAGAUGAAACAAUACUGGUUACAGAACAUUCCAUUUCCUAAGCAUUCCCAUUUUAAGUCUAUGUCCCAGUCAUUAACAGGGCCAUACAUAGAUUCACCAUUUGAAGGAAGGAAUAGAAAAGCUGUCACAGAAACUUAAAACAGCCUAUAGCAGGAAAUGAGGAAAAAACACCAUAUAUUGUAAUUCUGUUUCUGUCUCCAAGGAGC
Long non-coding RNA from Macaca mulatta (Rhesus monkey), 5027 nucleotides. The record is from Ensembl. NCBI's taxonomy places the organism in Eukaryota, Metazoa, Chordata, Mammalia, Primates, Cercopithecidae.